UGGGGAAUAUUGGACAAUGGGCGCAAGCCUGAUCCAGCCAUGCCGCGUGAGUGAUGAAGGCCCUAGGGUUGUAAAGCUCUUUCACCGGUGAAGAUAAUGACGGUAACCGGAGAAGAAGCCCCGGCUAACUUCGUUCCAGCAGCCGCGGCAAUACGAAGGGGGCUAGCGUUGUUCGGAUUUACUGGGCGUAAAGCGCACGUAGGCGGACUAUUAAGUCAGGGGUGAAAUCCCGGGGCUCAACCCCGGAACUGCCUUUGAUACUGGUAGUCUUGAGUUCGAGAGAGGUGAGUGGAAUUCCGAGUGUAGGGGUGAAAUUCGUAGAUAUUCGGAGAAACACCAGUGGCGAGGGCGGCUCACUGGCUAGAUACUGACGCUGAGGUGCGAAAGCGUGGGGAGCAAACGGG
This 404-nucleotide ribosomal RNA is filed under the name Actinomycetes bacterium. RNAcentral describes it as "Actinobacteria bacterium partial 16S ribosomal RNA". It matches the Rfam family "Bacterial small subunit ribosomal RNA", at positions 355 to 776 of the family's 1533-position model. The record is from RNAcentral. Lineage: Bacteria; Bacillati; Actinomycetota; Actinomycetes.